Molecule: ribosomal RNA, 243 nt
Filed under: uncultured bacterium
Lineage: Bacteria
Description: partial 16S ribosomal RNA
Rfam family: Bacterial small subunit ribosomal RNA
Source: RNAcentral
UACGAAGGGUGCAAGCGUUAAUCGGAAUUACUGGGCGUAAAGCGUGCGUAGGCGGCUUUUUAAGUCUGAUGUGCAAAUCCCCGGGCGUCAACCUGGGAACGUGCGUUGGAAACUGUCGGGCUAGAGUGUAGAAGAGGGGGGUAGAAUUCCACGUGUAGCAGUGAAAUGCGUAGAGAUGUGGAGGAAUACCGAUGGCGAAGGCAGCCCCCCUGGGCUAACACUGACGCUCAUGCACGAAAGCGU